ACCGGCGCACGGGUGAGUAACACGUAUCCAACCUGCCGUCUACUCUUGGACAGCCUUCUGAAAGGAAGAUUAAUACAAGAUGGCAUCAUGAGUCCGCAUGUUCACAUGAUUAAAGGUAUUCCGGUAGACGAUGGGGAUGCGUUCCAUUAGAUAGUAGGCGGGGUAACGGCCCACCUAGUCUUCGAUGGAUAGGGGUUCUGAGAGGAAGGUCCCCCACAUUGGAACUGAGACACGGUCCAAAAUCCUACGGGAGGCAGCAUG
RNAcentral lists this ribosomal RNA (261 nucleotides) under uncultured bacterium. RNAcentral describes it as "partial 16S ribosomal RNA". It matches the Rfam family "Bacterial small subunit ribosomal RNA", at positions 94 to 353 of the family's 1533-position model. The record is from RNAcentral.